RNAcentral lists this ribosomal RNA (407 nucleotides) under Sphaerodactylus nigropunctatus. RNAcentral describes it as "partial 16S ribosomal RNA". It matches the Rfam family "Archaeal large subunit ribosomal RNA", at positions 2067 to 2648 of the family's 2987-position model. The record is from RNAcentral. Lineage: Eukaryota; Metazoa; Chordata; Lepidosauria; Squamata; Sphaerodactylidae.
GUAUGAACGGCACAAUGAGGGCCCAACUGUCUCCUCUGACCAAUCAAUGAACCUGCUCUUCCAGUACAAAAGCUGGAAUAACCACAUAAGACGAGAAGACCCUGUGGAGCUUAAAAUAUUAGUGUUAUACACAUCACUAACCAAUCGGCCCACAAUAUAAACAUAGCACACAUUUUUGGUUGGGGCGACCGCGGAACAAAAUAAAACUUCCACUUUCACGGCCCACUAGGCCACACCAGGUCAACAAACCAAUCACCACUUGACCCAGCAAUGCUGACCAACGAACCAAGUUACCCCAGGGAUAACAGCGCCAUCCCCUUCAAGAGCCCAUAUCGCCAAGGGGGUUUACGACCUCGAUGUUGGAUCAGGGCCCCCAGGUGGUGCAACCGCUACCAAAGGUUCGUUUG